Long non-coding RNA from Anguilla rostrata (American eel), 1342 nucleotides. RefSeq lists it as uncharacterized. Lineage: Eukaryota; Metazoa; Chordata; Actinopteri; Anguilliformes; Anguillidae. The transcript has 2 exons. The record is from RefSeq and is a predicted model, not a curated record.
UCGGGCAGACGCUGCCAACACAAACAGGACAAUUCCUCUACAAUUAGAGACGCUAAAUGCAGUUGACUUGGUGCCCCUCGCAGCUCGAUGUCUGCAAUUAAACCCGCUCUCAUCCCAGGGAACUGCCUGGCUGGAACUGAUUGCGCUCCAGCUCCGACUCGCGUUUUGAUUGCGCGUAUUACAUCCCGCUCGUGCAAACGCAUUCCAGCCCGAUCGCGUCGCUAACAAGUCCGAGUACAGCACGUGGCCGAGUUUGGUAUUUAGCAUUAUCACCGAGCGCACAGUUCACUCCGUCGUGUUCCAACUAAAGAGCUCCAGUCUCAAUUAGAAUAUUGUUUUUUUCAAUCACGACAGAAUCGAAAAUGAAAGAGGCCACAAUUUCAGAGAACAGCACAAAGGGCCAUGUGUACAGUCGAGGUUCUGACGGGUCUAUUGCAACAUCGCAGGACAUUUAUAUUUAUAGUUUUGACUGGGGAGAGGAAUUUAAUGGGGAUACAGUACCUUAAACAGAAUGUUUUGUAUCACCCCCCCCCCCCUUUUUUUAUACAAACAGUUUAAAUGUGACAGUGACACAUUAGCCCCUGAAAAAGAAAAAAAUAGAAUCAAUACAAUAAAAUAAAAAUAAAAAACAUUUAAAAGCAUACAAUCACAGGGAGUUCUACAGAAGCUGGAAGGGACUGCAGGGCCUGAGUCAUUCAGAUGUGGACUUGCUUUUGUGUUUUGGAUCAUUGUCUUGGUGCAUAACCCAAUUAUGAACCAGCUUCAGCUCACAGACAAAUGAUAGGACAUUCUCCUUAUGGAUUUUCUGGUAUAGAACAGAGUUCAUGGUUCCUUCAUUAAAGCGGUCUAUAGUUCUAUGGAUGUUCUUCUGGGAUCUUUUGUGACUUACUGGAGGAGUUAUCACUGUGCUCUUGGAGAAAUUUUUGCAGGAUGACCACACCUGGGAAGAUUCACCACUGUUCCAAGUGUUCUCCAUUUGGAGAUAAUGGCUCUCACCUUGGUUUAGUGGAGUCCCACAACCUUAGAAAUGGCUUUGUCACCCUUUCCAGCCUGAUAUAUUUCAACAACUUUUUUUCCUCAUCUCUUCUGGAAUUUCCUUUGACCUCGGCAUAAUGUGUGCAAAUAAACUUUGUGGUGACUACUUGACUGUGAUGCUUAGGUUCAAUAUGAGUGAGUUUUAGAUUCAACAGGCUGGCUCCAAUCAAGCCUGGCUGUGUUCAAUUAGAUGAAACUAUUUAUCAAUUCAAUUUGGUUAAUUGGUUGAUUUUUUUUACUUUACUCUUUCACAUUAGCGAUAUUUGAUCAUUUUCCCACAAAAUAAAUUACAUAAUAAUUUAAGAAA